Molecule: non-coding RNA, 1130 nt
Organism: Anas platyrhynchos (mallard)
Lineage: Eukaryota; Metazoa; Chordata; Aves; Anseriformes; Anatidae
Source: RefSeq, a predicted model, not a curated record
UCUCUGGUCCUUGGCCAUGCUGUAGUUACGUGCACUGCUUUUAAAUUUUUGUCCAAAUAACCCUUCACUGCAACAUCUGCCUCCCACAGAGAUUUCCAGUCUCUCCUGGUAGUCACGAUCCGAUCCCUGUCACGGAAAGGCCACGUGUGACUGGGAGAGUAUUCAUCAAAACCCUCACUGGCAUUUGUGUACUGGCAGCAAGAUGAGGGAUCUGUGACCAUUGGUGACACCUGCUAGCCAUGGCUCAAUACCUAAAGGAAAAAAGAUGCAGUGUUGUAAGCACUUGAUUCUGGCCCUUUCAUUCAGAUUUCUGGUUUUGUUCAAAUAUUUUCUGACUGCUUUUUAAAAUCUUCUUAACAGAGGCAGCCACUUAAUGGGGAUGGUGAGCACAGUCCCAUGGAAUGAGUUCUCCUGCAGUGGGUACGUGUGCUCUGUCUCGAAACUAGAGAGCUCUUGCUCAUUUUACCUUCUGCUACUGCAGUCACGUUUGUAGGUUUUUCCUGGCCUGCCAGACUUUAACCAUCUGCAAGGGAGUGCUCUAAAUUUAAUUUGUGUGCAGCUAGAGUUUCUCUUUCUUUGGUUUUGAAUAAAUGUUACAUUUUUACUAACUUAAACAGGCUUCUAUUUUGCAAGUUUCUGCCUGAAUAUAUUUUGUUACAGUCAUUAUUAAAGGAAACUUGCAUAAAAGGACGCAAACAAAGUGCAAGUAUUGCUGUAAACUUAUAUGUCUAUGUUAAUAAAACUAGGGGAAAAGAAACUUGAGAGGGUGUGACAUACAUUUACUUAGACUUUCAGAUAUUAAUUUGUUUUCUAAAUGUAUACAUUAAAUGAAAUUAUUUUGUCAAAAAAAAUAUUAAAAGGGAUACCUUUCAGCAUGAACAUGCAGUGGAUUAUGACAUUCAUGUAGCACGUGGCAGUCAUGUUUGCUUUCUCUAAAAGCAGGUCAGCUGUUUGAGCAAACCUAAUUUCACCAUCAUUCAGGAAUGCUCUAGAUACAGAUACAAAUAAAGAAUAAAAUGCAAAGGUAAUUCUGAGCUACAUGGCUAAGGAUAAUUUGCAUUUAUAUGCUAUCUUUCAGCUAGAGAAAUCCCAACACAGUUCCAGGAAGGAAAAAAAAAAAAAAAAAAAAA